Molecule: ribosomal RNA, 429 nt
Filed under: Chloroflexota bacterium
Lineage: Bacteria; Bacillati; Chloroflexota
Description: Chloroflexi bacterium partial 16S ribosomal RNA
Rfam family: Bacterial small subunit ribosomal RNA
Source: RNAcentral
UGGGGAAUAUUGCACAAUGGGCGCAAGCCUGAUGCAGCCAUGCCGCGUGUGUGAAGAAGGCCUUCGGGUUGUAAAGCACUUUCAGCGGGGAGGAAGGCGGUGAGGUUAAUAACCUCACCGAUUGACGUUACCCGCAGAAGAAGCACCGGCUAACUCCGUGCCAGCAGCCGCGGUAAUACGGAGGGUGCAAGCGUUAAUCGGAAUUACUGGGCGUAAAGCGCACGCAGGCGGUCUGUCAAGUCGGAUGUGAAAUCCCCGGGCUCAACCUGGGAACUGCAUUCGAAACUGGGGGGCGAGAGUCUUGUAGAGGGGGGUAGAAUUCCAGGUGUAGCGGUGAAAUGCGUAGAGAUCUGGAGGAAUACCGGUGGCGAAGGCGGCCCCCUGGACAAAGACUGACGAUCAGGUGCGAAAGCGUGGGGAGCAAACAGG